This 846-nucleotide ribosomal RNA is filed under the name uncultured eukaryote. RNAcentral's name for it is "SSU rRNA". It matches the Rfam family "Eukaryotic small subunit ribosomal RNA", at positions 584 to 1457 of the family's 1831-position model. The record is from RNAcentral.
UCCAGCCCCAAUAGCGUAUAUUAAAGUUGUUGCGGUUAAAAAGCUCGUAGUUGGAUUUCAGCCGAGGACGACCGGUCCUGCUUCUGUAGGAACCUGGUUUGGCCGAGGCAUUUCUUGGUGCACGUGUUGGCCCUUGAUCGCGCUACACGGACUCCAGGGCUUUUACUUUGAGGAAAUUAGAGUGUUUCAAGCAGGCAUCUGCCUUGAAUACAUUAGCAUGGAAUAAUAGGAUAGGACUACGGUCCUAUUUUGUUGGUUUCUGGGACUGCAGUAAUGAUUAAUAGGGAUAGUCGGGGGCAUUCGUACUUAACAGUCAGAGGUGGAAUUCUUGGAUUUGUUAAAGACGAACUACUGCGAAAGCAUUUGCCAAGGAUGUUUUCAUUGAUCAAGAACGAAAGUUAGGGGAUCGAAGACGAUUAGAUACCGUCCUAGUCUUAACCAUAAACCAUGCCGACUAGGGAUUGGAGGUCGUUACUUUGUGAUGCCUUCAGCACCUCGUGAGAAAUCAAAGUCUAUGGGUUCCGGGGGGAGUAUGGUCGCAAGGCUGAAACUUAAAGGAAUUGACGGAAGGGCACCACCAGGAGUGGAGCCUGCGGCUUAAUUUGACUCAACACGGGAAACCUCACCAGGUCCAGACAUAGUAAGGAUUGACAGAUUGAUAGCUCUUUCUUGAUUCUUUGGGUGGUGGUGCAUGGCCGUUCUUAGUUGGUGGAGUGAUCUGUCUGGUUAAUUCCGUUAACGAACGAGACCUUAGCCUGCUAAAUAGUCACCUCUUAGCCCUGCUAAGAUGGUCGGCUUCUUAGAGGGACUUUGUGUGUUUAAUGCAAGGAAGUUUGAGGCAAUAAC